UUAUUCUCCCGUUCCUCCAUGGAAUUUGCACUACUUUUGCAUUUAUAGCUUAAAUUAAUCAACUUCUGUUGUGGAAGCUCUACCAACUUUUUCACAGGAUAAAUUAGGUUUUGGGCUAUUUCGUCGCUCCAACUUUGUUGCAUCAAGGUAAUCGCUUCGACGCUUCGAAUCAAUUUAAUUGACUGUCUAUGCCACGAAACUUCAUCUCCGCUCUAGAUUUGGUAGGCGUUUGCAUUUUAGAGAAAAAUUAUGUCUGACUUUGCCCUAUUUUGAAUUUAUAUAGUUGCCGAACCUCUGGCUGAAUGAGUUUUUGCUGCUUCGUUGGAACUGAAGAAAGGGGGAAAUUUUACAAUGGUGUCUGAAUUGAAUUUUAGAAUUUUCGUGGGAAUUUAUUGUGAAAAAUGGAUUUUUACAGGAAUUUUAUUGUGACGGUUGGUAUAUAAAAAUUAUUUUUAUUAUUCUUUGUGGCGGGUAGGGGCUUAGUUACGUUCUUACGAC
Molecule: long non-coding RNA, 498 nt
Filed under: Nicotiana tabacum (common tobacco)
Lineage: Eukaryota; Viridiplantae; Streptophyta; Magnoliopsida; Solanales; Solanaceae
Description: long non-coding RNA (NTAB_LNC007029)
Source: RNAcentral